Molecule: ribosomal RNA, 464 nt
Filed under: uncultured bacterium
Lineage: Bacteria
Description: bacterial SSU rRNA
Rfam family: Bacterial small subunit ribosomal RNA
Source: RNAcentral
GACUAACGCUGGCGGCGUGCCUAACACAUGCAAGUCGAACGAGUAGCAAUACUAGUGGCAGACGGGUGAGUAACGCGUAGGUAAUGUGCCUUCUUGCUGGGGAUACCGUUCCGAAAGGAGCGUUAAUACCGAAUGUGUCGGUUUCGGGGCAUCCCGAGAUCGAUAAACUGCUAGGGCGAGAAGAGCAGCCUGCGUUCUAUCAGCUUGUUGGUGGGGUAACGGCCUACCAAGGCUACGACGGAUAGCCGGUCUGAGAGGAUGAUCGGCCACACUGGGACUGAGACACGGCCCAGACUCCUACGGGAGGCAGCAGUGAGGAAUAUUGCGCAAUGGGCGAAAGCCUGACGCAGCGACGCCGCGUGAGGGAUGAAGGCUCUCGGGUUGUAAACCCCUUUCAGCAGGGACGAAUCAAGACGGUACCUGCAGAAGAAGCCCCCGGCUAACUACGUGCCAGCAGCCGCGGU